UUGACAUGUUGCUACCUGGCCGGUGCUUCCAGCCGUCCUAAUCUCCUAGAAUAUUGCAGUAUUCUUCUCCACUCAUCCACUGACCACUACAAUAGCUAAUACACUCAAAAUUUCUAGUCUUACCGAAUAGCCCGAAUUUCCUAGGGUUAGACAAACAAAUUAAGAAUUAGAGAAGAAUUUGGGAACUGAUAUGGAGGCAGACACACACUGCGAAUUGGGGUCUCAUCCAACAUACCUUCACUGAUUGGGUGAAUUGGGGGGAUCUGGUGAAGUAGAUGAACAGGCGAGGGGUCGAGGGCGACGAGGCGAUAGGUCAUGAAGCGCAUCGG
RNAcentral lists this long non-coding RNA (329 nucleotides) under Triticum aestivum (bread wheat). Its description in RNAcentral is "long non-coding RNA (TAES_LNC001704)". Lineage: Eukaryota; Viridiplantae; Streptophyta; Magnoliopsida; Poales; Poaceae. The record is from RNAcentral.